UACGUAGGGUGCGAGCGUUAAUCGGAAUUACUGGGCGUAAAGCGUGCGCAGGCGGUCUGUUAAGACCGAUGUGAAAUCCCCGGGCUUAACCUGGGAACUGCAUUGGUGACUGGCAGGCUUUGAGUGUGGCAGAGGGAGGUAGAAUUCCACGUGUAGCAGUGAAAUGCGUAGAGAUCCGGAGGACCCAGAGGCGAAGGCGGCGCCCUGGCUCGCAACUGACGCUCAGACACGACAGCAUGGGGAGCGAACGGG
This 252-nucleotide ribosomal RNA is filed under the name uncultured bacterium. RNAcentral's name for it is "partial 16S ribosomal RNA". It matches the Rfam family "Bacterial small subunit ribosomal RNA", at positions 524 to 776 of the family's 1533-position model. The record is from RNAcentral.